Molecule: ribosomal RNA, 301 nt
Filed under: uncultured bacterium
Lineage: Bacteria
Description: partial 16S ribosomal RNA
Rfam family: Bacterial small subunit ribosomal RNA
Source: RNAcentral
CAGUAGCCACGGUAAUACGAAGGGUGCAAGCGUUACUCGGAAUUACUGGGCGUAAAGCGUGCGUAGGUGGUGGUUUAAGUCCGUUGUGAAAGCCCUGGGCUCAACCUGGGAAUUGCAGUGGAUACUGGGUCACUAGAGUGUGGUAGAGGAUAGUGGAAUUUCCGGUGUAGCAGUGAAAUGCGUAGAGAUCGGAAGGAACAUCUGUGGCGAAGGCGACUAUCUGGGCCAACACUGACACUGAGGCACGAAAGCGUGGGGAGCAAACAGGAUUAGAUACCCGCGUAGUCCAUGUCUCUUAUAC